UGAUCUGACUGAUUUAUCUUAUUUAACUGAUUGAUUUGACUGGCCAACACAUUUAACCCUGUGUGCGAGGUUGUGCACCGGCCCCACGUCCUGUGGCCGCGAGGGGAGCCGCUGAUUGUAUUCUAGCAUAUUAUGGUGAACCACGCUUGAGCCCGUGACUUGUACAUCCACCCUGAAACUGAACUGCAUUGGAACUUAAGAUGGGGACGA
Long non-coding RNA from Juglans microcarpa x Juglans regia, 210 nucleotides. RefSeq lists it as uncharacterized. The record is from RefSeq and is a predicted model, not a curated record. The transcript has 3 exons. Lineage: Eukaryota; Viridiplantae; Streptophyta; Magnoliopsida; Fagales; Juglandaceae.